Molecule: transfer RNA, 69 nt
Filed under: Plestiodon chinensis
Lineage: Eukaryota; Metazoa; Chordata; Lepidosauria; Squamata; Scincidae
Description: tRNA-Glu
Source: RNAcentral
AAUUUUUGCCCAGACUUUAAACCAGGACCUGUGAUACGAAAAACCACCGUUGUUUUCAACUACAAAAAC